This 427-nucleotide ribosomal RNA is filed under the name uncultured bacterium. RNAcentral's name for it is "bacterial SSU rRNA". It matches the Rfam family "Bacterial small subunit ribosomal RNA", at positions 355 to 774 of the family's 1533-position model. The record is from RNAcentral.
UGAGGAAUAUUGCCCAAUGGACGCAAGUCUGAGGCAGCGACGCCGCGUGGGUGAAGAAGGCCUUCGGGUUGUAAAGCUCUUUCGGCAGGAACGAAACGGCGGGCUCUAACAUAGCCUGUUAAUGACGGUACCUGCAGAAGAAGCACCGGCUAACUACGUGCCAGCAGCCGCGGUAAUACGUAGGGUGCGAGCGUUAAUCGGAAUUACCGGGCGUAAAGCGUGCGCAGGCGGAUUGUUAAGCAAGACGUGAAAUCCCCGGGCUUAACCUGGGAAUGGCGUUUUGAACUGGCAGUCUAGAGUGCGUCAGAGGGGGGUGGAAUUCCACGUGUAGCAGUGAAAUGCGUAGAGAUGUGGAGGAACACCGAUGGCGAAGGCAGCCCCCUGGGAUGACACUGACGCUCAUGUACGAAAGCGUGGGUAGCAAACA